RNAcentral lists this ribosomal RNA (431 nucleotides) under uncultured bacterium. RNAcentral's name for it is "partial 16S ribosomal RNA". It matches the Rfam family "Bacterial small subunit ribosomal RNA", at positions 29 to 507 of the family's 1533-position model. The record is from RNAcentral.
AACGAACGCUGGCGGCAGGCUUAACACAUGCAAGUCGAACGCCCCGCAAGGGGAGUGGCAGACGGGUGAGUAACGCGUGGGAACAUACCCUUUUCUACGGAAUAGCUCUGGGAAACUGGAAUUAAUACCGUAUACGCCCUACGGGGGAAAGAUUUAUCGGGGAAGGAUUGGCCCGCGUUGGAUUAGCUAGUUGGUGGGGUAAGGGCCUACCAAGGCGACGAUCCAUAGCUGGUCUGAGAGGAUGAUCAGCCACAUUGGGACUGAGACACGGCCCAAACUCCUACGGGAGGCAGCAGUGGGGAAUAUUGGACAAUGGGCGCAAGCCUGAUCCAGCCAUGCCGCGUGAGUGAUGAAGGCCUUAGGGUUGUAAAGCUCUUUCACCGAUGAAGAUAAUGACGGUAGUCGGAGAAGAAGCCCCGGCUAACUUCGUG